Molecule: ribosomal RNA, 253 nt
Filed under: uncultured bacterium
Lineage: Bacteria
Description: partial 16S ribosomal RNA
Rfam family: Bacterial small subunit ribosomal RNA
Source: RNAcentral
UACGAAGGGGGCUAGCGUUGUUCGGAAUCACUGGGCGUAAAGGGUGCGUAGGCGGGUUUUUAAGUCAGGGGUGAAAUCCUGGAGCUCAACUCCAGAACUGCCUUUGAUACUGAAGAUCUUGAGUCCGGGAGAGGUGAGUGGAACUGCGAGUGUAGAGGUGAAAUUCGUAGAUAUUCGCAAGAACACCAGUGGCGAAGGCGGCUCACUGGCCCGGUACUGACGCUGAGGCACGAAAGCGUGGGGAGCAAACAGG